UCCGGUUUGUCACCGGCAGUCCCAUUAGAGUGCUCAACUGAAUGUAGCAACUAAUGGCAAGGGUUGCGCUCGUUGCGGGACUUAACCCAACAUCUCACGGCACGAGCUGACGACAGCCAUGCAGCACCUAGUUUCGUGUCCUUGCGGACGCACCCAUCUCUGGAUGCUUCACUAACUUUCAAGCCCGGGUAAGGUUCCUCGCGUAUCAUCGAAUUAAACCACGUGCUCCUCCGCUUGUGCGGGCCCCCGUCAAUUCCUUUGAGUUUUAGCCUUGCGGCCGUACUCCCCAGGCGGGGAACUUAAUGCGUUAGCUGCGGCACCGACGACGUGGAAUGUCGCCAACACCUAGUUCCCAACGUUUACGGCGUGGACUAC
RNAcentral lists this unclassified non-coding RNA (375 nucleotides) under uncultured bacterium. RNAcentral describes it as "contains 16S-23S intergenic spacer region". The record is from RNAcentral.